This is a non-coding RNA of Mycena maculata, 92 nucleotides long. NCBI's taxonomy places the organism in Eukaryota, Fungi, Basidiomycota, Agaricomycetes, Agaricales, Mycenaceae. The record is from the annotation of a GenBank genome assembly.
GGCACUGUAGCAUAGGGUGUUGCACCGUGAUUUGCUUGAUGCACAUCAGAUUGUUAUCGCGGAUGUCCCGGGUUCGACUCCCGGCAGUGCUG